UACAGAGACUGCAAGCGUUAUUCGGAUUCACUGGGCGUAAAGGGUGCGCAGGCGGCCAAGUGUGUUAGGCGUGAAAGCCUGAGGCUUAACCUCAGAAUUGCACCUAAAACUACGUGGCUAGAGCAUUGGAGAGGGUAGCGGAAUUCACGGUGUAGCAGUGAAAUGCGUAGAUAUCGUGAGGAACACCAGAGGCGAAGGCGGCUACCUGGACAAUUGCUGACGCUCAGGCACGAAAGCGUGGGGAGCAAAAGGG
RNAcentral lists this ribosomal RNA (253 nucleotides) under uncultured bacterium. Its description in RNAcentral is "partial 16S ribosomal RNA". It matches the Rfam family "Bacterial small subunit ribosomal RNA", at positions 524 to 776 of the family's 1533-position model. The record is from RNAcentral.